Molecule: unclassified non-coding RNA, 436 nt
Filed under: Hevea brasiliensis (rubber tree)
Lineage: Eukaryota; Viridiplantae; Streptophyta; Magnoliopsida; Malpighiales; Euphorbiaceae
Source: RNAcentral
AUACUUCUAAAAACUGAAAACUAAGUUAUAGACUGAAUCUCCUAAUUAAAAAUCAGUAUAACCACAACUGCAUUAUCAUUAGUAUUUUUAUCUUGCAACUUUAAAUAUAGUCCUUCUUUAGGAUAUGCAAUUAAUUUCCUGCUACUGCAUAAUCUUCUCAGGGAGGAAGGCAAGUAAUGAAGCCAAGAAAGGGGAUUCAUGUGUACAGUUAAUACAGGAUGCUUCAUCUUGACUACAAAGGAUGGCUACUGUCCUUUCAACCAAAAUACCCCUCUUCCUGAUGCAGAAAAAACAGCUUUAAGACUCGACUUCCAAAUUGAGUAUUUCCUUUCUGACCAUCCAAUAGAUGAUGCUUCAUCACCUUCUCAACAAGAAAGCAUUAAGGCCUCUUUGGCAUGUUCUCAAAAUAGUAUCUUAAGCCGAAGGAAAAUACAAG